CUCACCGCCAGUUAUUGGAACGGAAUAACUACAGUGGCAGUCCGCGCAGCGGUAAAUCGGAUGCAUUUAAUUGAUUUUAAACGUCUAAAUACUCUCUAUUUCUGUAUGUGAUUGUCCCCGCAUGUCUAACGCCACACGAGUGUGAAGCUGGAAAAUCGUUGUAACGGUUUAGAAAAAGCUACAACUGUGACUCAGACGCCCCUUUAGGCGCGUUGCUACUGUUUGUAUUAGCAUCGGGUGCUAACGGAACAACCGUCUUUUUAUAGCCAGAUUCUCCUCAAGCCAAUUCUGAUGUGUUAAUAAAACCACGGAGACAGCCAUGACUUCACUGGGGAGCAGCAGUAGUUCCUCGAGCACGGAAUACACCGUGCGGGUCCCCAAAAACAACAGCAAGAAGUACAAUCUCAUGGCUUUCAAUUCGGGAGACAAAGUCAACUGUUCAACCUGGACACAGGCUCGUAUGGAGAGAGACAUGAGUGCCCGACGGAUAUAUGGGGAGGAAGAAGCGGCGGAAGGUGCGGCUGGCAGUGAGUUUGGCAAAAAGCAGCGCGAGGAAUCACGCCGGAAGAAGUAUGGUAUUGUGACUCGGGAGUUCAAAGUGGAGGACCAGCCCUGGAUUCUAAAAGUCAAUGGCAAGGCCGGCAAGAGGUUCAAAGGUAUAAAAAAGGGCGGUGUUACAGAAAAUGCCUCCUACUACAUCUUUACACAGUGUCCCGAUGGAGCUUUCGAGGCUUUUCCCGUCCACGGCUGGUACAACUUUACACCGCAGGCCAAACACCGAACUCUCACUGCUGAGGAGGCUGAGGAGGAGUGGGGCAGAAGAAACAAGGUGGUGAAUCACUUCAGCAUCAUGCUUCAGAGACGUUUCCGGGAGCAGGAGCGUGGUGGUGAGGACGAUGACGAUGAGAAUGAUAAGUCGGGGAAGAAGAAAAAGAAGGGGGGCAGGAAAGGUGGAGAUCUGCGCAUUCACGACCUGGAGGAAGACUUGGAGAUGAGCAGCGAUGACAGUGACAGCAGUGUGGGGGACGAUGGAGAGGCAAAGACAAAGGGAAAAAAGGAUUCGGGGAAAGGGAAAGCAAAGAAGAAGAAAAGAAAGAGCAGUGACAAAGAUGCCCUGGAGGACAGCGAUGACGGUGACUACGAGGGUCUAGAGGUGGAUUACAUGUCGGAUGAAAGCAGUUCAGACGAAGAGCCGGAAAAGGCAAAGCAAAGCAAAGGAGAGGAUCAUCCCAAAGGGAUCGAUGAGGCAUCUGAAAGUGAGGAAGAGAGUGAGGAGGAGAAACCGAACGAAGAGGAAACGAAAGAGGAGGAGGAGGAAGAGGAAGGAAAGAAGACGCCGGUCCAAACGGAAAAGAAGAAGAAAAAAGACAGCAGCGGCGAGUCGGAAACCUCCGACGACAGUGACAUCGACGGAGAGACCGCCUCCGCUCUGUUCAUGAAGAAGCGCACGCCCCCUAAACGUGGUGGGCGCGGCUCUGCAGGCAGCUCCAGGACUGGCAGUCGCCCCGGCACACCGUCCAUCGACUCGGCCUCCACCUCCAGUACACUCCGCGCUGCUGCCAGCAAGCUAGAGCAAGGUAAGAGACCGACUGCAGGUCCUAGCACUGACUCCCCGGCUGCCAAAAGGCUCAAAAUGGAGCCCAGCAGUCAGAGCCCAGCCCCCUCUGGGAAGACCACGCCCCAACCGCCAUCAGGCAAAUCCACUCCUAGCUCCAGUGAUGUGCAGCUGACAGAGGAAGCAGUCCGGCGGUACUUGAUCCGUAAACCGAUGACCACCAAAGACCUGCUGAAGAAGUUCCAGACCAAGCGCACGGGUUUGAGCAGCGAGCAGACCGUCAAUGUGCUGGCGCAGAUCCUGAAACGCCUCAAUCCGGAGCGCAAGAAUGUCAACGACAAAAUGCACUUCUACCUCACUGAAUAAGCAAUGAAGCCGAGAGGUGUGGAGAGACGGGGGGGCGAGGAGGGAGAGAACGCCACGGUCUAUGCUGAUUUAGCAACAAAAAAUAUUUUUUACUACUAAGUAUUACGCAUCCCAAACUUUUUUUUCAUUCCCUGAAAUCUUGGUCUGAAAUCUCCCAUCAGAUCGUAGAACAUUAAGUGAAUUUCUAGUUUUCCCUCAAAGUGUGAACACUUUAACAUUAAACUUGAGGUUAUGGAAAGUUUUUGUUUAGUUUUCUGUAAGAUUUUCAAAUAAAAGGGUUCGCUCUCUG
Pungitius pungitius (ninespine stickleback) is the source of this 2210-nucleotide RNA transcript. It is a transcript of the gene named general transcription factor IIF, polypeptide 1, with no coding region annotated. The record is from RefSeq and is a predicted model, not a curated record. The transcript has 14 exons. Lineage: Eukaryota; Metazoa; Chordata; Actinopteri; Perciformes; Gasterosteidae.